GGAUCCAGACUUUGAUCCUGGCUCAGGACGAACGCUGGCGGCGUGCUUAACACAUGCAAGUCGAACGGUGAAGAGGAGCUUGCUUCUUGGAUCAGUGGCGAACGGGUGAGUAACACGUGAGUAACCUGCCCUUGACUCUGGGAUAACUGCUAGAAAUGGUAGCUAAUACCGGAUACGACCCUCGGCCGCAUGGUCAGGAGGUGGAAAGAAUUUUGGUCAAGGAUGGACUCGCGGCCUAUCAGGUAGUUGGUGAGGUAAUGGCUCACCAAGCCUACGACGGGUAGCCGGCCUGAGAGGGUGACCGGCCACACUGGGACUGAGACACGGCCCAGACUCCUACGGGAGGCAGCAGUGGGGAAUAUUGCACAAUGGGCGAAAGCCUGAUGCAGCAACGCCGCGUGAGGGACGACGGCCUUCGGGUUGUAAACCUCUUUUAGUAGGGAAGAAGCGAAAGUGACGGUACCUGCAGAAAAAGCACCGGCUAACUACGUGCCAGCAGCCGCGGUAAUACGUAGGGUGCAAGCGUUGUCCGGAAUUAUUGGGCGUAAAGAGCUCGUAGGCGGUUUGUCGCGUCUGCUGUGAAAUCCGGAGGCUCAACCUCCGGCCUGCAGUGGGUACGGGCAGACUAGAGUGCGGUAGGGGAGAUUGGAAUUCCUGGUGUAGCGGUGGAAUGCGCAGAUAUCAGGAGGAACACCAAUGGCGAAGGCAGAUCUCUGGGCCGUAACUGACGCUGAGGAGCGAAAGCAUGGGGAGCGAACAGGAUUAGAUACCCUGGUAGUCCAUGCCGUAAACGUUGGGAACUAGAUGUGGGGGCCAUUCCACGGUCUCCGUGUCGCAGCUAACGCAUUAAGUUCCCCGCCUGGGGAGUACGGCCGCAAGGCUAAAACUCAAAGGAAUUGACGGGGGCCCGCACAAGCGGCGGAGCAUGCGGAUUAAUUCGAUGCAACGCGAAGAACCUUACCAAGGCUUGACAUAUAGAGGUAACGUGCAGAAAUGUACGCCCCGCAAGGUCUCUAUACAGGUGGUGCAUGGUUGUCGUCAGCUCGUGUCGUGAGAUGUUGGGUUAAGUCCCGCAACGAGCGCAACCC
This 1088-nucleotide ribosomal RNA is filed under the name uncultured bacterium. RNAcentral's name for it is "bacterial SSU rRNA". It matches the Rfam family "Bacterial small subunit ribosomal RNA", at positions 1 to 1104 of the family's 1533-position model. The record is from RNAcentral.